This 2541-nucleotide transfer RNA is filed under the name Homo sapiens (human). RNAcentral describes it as "HSALNT0103080". Lineage: Eukaryota; Metazoa; Chordata; Mammalia; Primates; Hominidae. The record is from RNAcentral.
AAGACUUUGGAGACACCAGCAUUUCCAGUUGUUCUGUCACGAUCUUUUCUGGAGACUUUGAUUUGCAGUUCCAGCAGGACUCGAGCGACUGCCUCGUGCAUUUCCUUUUGAGGCUUCUCUCUUUUUUCUCCAAAGAACAAAUUGUGCGCAGCAAAAAGAAAGUUAUUAUUUGGUUGGCAGCUAAAGAUACUCCGCUCAAGAGAUGUGACGUGGAAAUACCAGGAAUAAAAUUUGGUCGAGUGAUUUGUAUGAGCAACAGUAUAGAUUGUGGAGAGACGAUGGGGAUUUGACUGCAGAGGACUAAAUCCAAGGUUCCACCGAGAUUUGAACUCGGAUUACCGGAUUCAGAGUCCAGAGUGCUAACCAUUACACCAUGGAACCUGAAGCUGAACUAGCAUUUCCUAAAGUCAUAGGUGACCUAUUUCUCCACUUUAGGUUCCUUCCCUCCGCCCCAUAGUUUGGGUGAUGGGUGCAUUCUGCUUUUCCUCUUGGAGGAUUAAGUCAAGAAGACGCUUACCUGCCACAUGCCUACAUUCAACACCUUUUACACCACAGUCUUAAUGGAAAACGUUGACUUCCAACUGUCAGGAGUCCUCUAAUCCUAAACCACUCCUUUCAAGUGCUUUAGGAGCUUGGCGCCCCGGGCCUCGGCCUCUAUUUCAUCAAUGGUAGACAAGUGAGAUUGUUAAACAAGACUGUGUGCCAGGUGCCAGGCACACAGUAUGCCAGGUUACCGUGUGCCAGUUUUUGUGACAAGUGUUUUCUAUUGUUACCUUACCUGUGAGGCUCACAACCACGCUGUGAGAUGGGACCCAUAAUCUCUAUUUUACAGGUGAGAAAUUUGAGUCAGAUACCUGAGAUGCUUUACUCCUUUUCGUUAUAGAUCUAAUUAUUUUCUCAAAAAUCGUUUUUACCAGGGUAACAUGUAGCGUUUUUAAGGACACGUUAUGGAAAGAUUUUACCGAAGUCACAGGGGAGCCACUUUGCUGUUUACAGAAAGCUGAAAUAAAUGCACUUGAACUACUGGGUUAGAGGAAGAUCCCAGCAACCCUAGGAUAGCAACUCAGGGAAAGAAGGGGAAGGGUAGACAAAGGUCCCUCUGGAGUUUCCCAGGACAGUGCAUAGCUCCCCUGGUCCUUCCACUGCCCUUCACCAAUGAGAAAUAUGUGCAGGGUAAACUUCCAAACGGACACAAAGAAAACUCCCUGCUUCUCCCUCGCAUAUCCCUUUGUGACACACACAGGAGCCCAUGUGAAAACACAAACACAGACACACACACACACACACACACACACACAGAAUCGGUUUCUGUGAACAAAACAAAACAAAAAGUCUGUGUUCCUUGUUUAAAGUGAUAGCUUCCUCACAGGACAAUGUCGUCUGUCAGUUAAAUUCGAAAGGGUUUUCAGAGACACAUAUCCACAACCUUCUAAGGAUUUAUUCUCUUUAUCUUGUGUCUCUACAAUUUGAGAAAGAAGGUAGGUUUCAGGACUAAUUUGGAAGGAAAAUCUGAAAUCAAAUAAGCUUUAUUUUUUUAAAAAAAAUGCCAGUUAUUUUUCCACUCCUUGAACUCUUCCCCGCCCCCCCCCCCUUUCAUUAAGCAGGCUCCCAGUCUUGGAGGUCUCUGCUCUGAACAGCUUUCUGUCCCCAACCCUUAUUCCUGGAGGAAACAGAAAGAACAUUUAAAAAAAGAAGAAGAAGAAGAAGAAGAUUAUUACCUGGGGAGAUGUAGCAUUUCAGAUGAUUCGGAAACGAACUUAGGUUCUAGGUUCGUUAAGAAAUGGGGACGGUUAAUUUGAAUCAUCUUAGAGCAUGAAAACCAAAUUUCUCGAGGGGGGAAAAAGCCAAAGGCCCGUACGGGGAUCGAAACCUCGACCCUGGCAUUAGUAGCAGCACGCUCUAACCAACUGAGCUAACCGGCCGACCGCAAAUCUGUGCUUUUGUUAUUCAUCUCACCCGCAUCCUCGCCCCUUCUCCGUGAAAGUAUUAAAUUCUUCAACGUAAUUCCUGUUUGUCUUACAGGGAGGAACAAUUUCUUAGUUGCUUUAGAGUCUUAAUAGAAAUAACGAGAAAUUUCCUCUUAACGCAAAAACAAAGCAAAAUGGCUGUAUUCGUAGACUUGAAAGAGGACGCUUAAACAUUUCAAACUGUGGCUAAUGGCCCAGCAAUUUAUGGAAAUAUUUGCUGCCUUCUGAAUGUCUAGUCAAUACAUGCAGACAAUGAAUCAGAUUCGGUGAAAUAUUAAUGAGUCUUUGCUUCGUAAAAGCCGCUCACUAAUACAACAUACAAAUUGGUACUUGAAGGAUAUUCCCAACGAGUCUGAUUCUCGAUGGUCCCAUGAUCGAGAUCGUCCCAGGUUUCUUAUGUCUAGAUCCUCAAUUUGGGAGUCUUCCUAUGUGUUCCUUCAGAUUCCUAAAGUGACCUCAAAUCAAAGGUCGCUUCGAAGACCUUGGUAUUGAAAAAUGCUAGAAAUGUGGUUCUAGUCACCAUUCCAGGGGCCGUUAAACCCAAUCGUUGUCUACUCAGCCAUUGUUUCCCAAA